UGGCAAAAAAGUCAGAAAAGUAAGCAGAAGGCUCUGUGUGGAGUCUUUGAAUGCCAGGCUGAGAGGCAAACAUUAACUCAAUCAUCAAUUGUUUUAAACAGAGUAGUACUUUGAUCCAAGUCAUCAUUUUAAGAUAAUAACCAUUUAAAAGUACACAGACAAAGGUAGAUAAAACUGAAAGUAAAGAACUGAAAAUUGGGAGAAAGGGUUAGGUGAUGUGUUAGUCUGCUCAUGCUGUCACAACAAAAUACCAUAGCGGGUGACUUAAACAACAGAAUUUACUUUCUCACAGUUCUAGAGAUCUGUGUUUGAGUUCUUAUUGGAACUCUGGCUUACGAGGGCCAUUCUUAGGCUAUGUCUUCCCCACAUGGUAGAGAAAGAACUCUGGUGUCUCUUCUUAUAAAGACAUCGGUCAGGAUUAGGGUUCCAAUCUUACAACCUCUUUUAACCUUAAUAAAUCCCUGAAAGGCCUCUUCUCCUAUACAAUCACAAGGGGCUUAGAGGCUUUGAUAUAUGGAUUUAGGGAGGACACAAUUUAGUCCACAGCAGGUGGUUAUUGUUACUAACAUAUAAUAAAAGAAUACAAUUACCCAAAUUUGAAUUAUAAAAUAAGAAUAAAAUGAAAAGGCAGAUGCUAGAGAGAAAUUAAUGCAUAGGAUUUGGGAAGUAGCAGUGAAAGAUGAGGGUGAGGUACCAAAGAAAAAGCUAAAACUUCAGAAUUCUCAGUUGGCAUGACUGUUUGCCACCACCAGAAAGUGAGAUUGGAAAAGUAAAAAAGAGAAGCUAGGAUGUGUAUAGAGUUGGCUUCAAGGGCAUAGGACCUGUGCAGCCCAAGAAGAUCCCACUCUCAGAAGGGAGCCAUGCAGUUUAAUUCUCUGUUGUCUUGAAAUUCUUAAUGGCUUCACCCUUGAACCUUCAUUUUGUAAGUAGAGUUUCAUGGAGCAUGCCAAUGAGCAGAGGCAAGACAAACGCAUGCCCACAGCUCCUUGCCAUCCCAUUUGCCUUCAAGUGCCACAUGAACACAGAAUUCUACAAUGUAUGAAGUUCAAUGAGACCUAAAGCAAUGAGGAGUUCCCCUCGUGGCACAGUGGUUAACGAAUCCGACUAGGAAACAUGAGGUUGUGGAUUUGAUCCCUGGCCUUGCUCAGUGGGUUAAGGAUCCGGCGUUGCUAUGAGCUGUGGUGUAGGUUGCAGACUCAGCUCAGAUCCCGCGUUGCUGGGGCUCUGGCGUAGGCCGGCAGCUACAGCUCCAAUUCAACCCCUAGCCUGGGAACCUCCAUAUGCUGCGGGAGCGGCCCAAGAAAU
This 1305-nucleotide long non-coding RNA is filed under the name Sus scrofa (pig). RNAcentral's name for it is "lncRNA (ENSSSCG00000053942.1)". The record is from RNAcentral. Lineage: Eukaryota; Metazoa; Chordata; Mammalia; Artiodactyla; Suidae.